UUUCAAAGAUAGAGCGGACGGACCAGGAACAGCGCGGCGCCGAGGGGAAGGCUCGAUGGUGUCAACCCCGCUUUGGCUUUAAGCGUCCGAUCCCAAACGAGACGCAGCACGGGUGUCAAGCGGUGACUGCGUCCCUACGUCUCCAUGCCCGACGUCGACGCGUUUUUCGGCCGCCGGAGGAGCAGCAGAGCUGGCGGUGGAGGCCGCGCGGGGGACCGCCGGAAGCGGCUGCUGUCGCUACUGCUACACCUCCGGCUGUAGGAGGCGGUCAGUAGCUUCUUUGCGCGGGAGCUCUUCCACCUCCUUGACGUCUUCUUCCGCUACCUCCUCCUAGGGAGCCACAAACGAAUACUACUCCACAUGCUACUAUACUUCCUCUUCCGGCGAGCCGGGUUCUAUGUCCGGUUCCAACAAGCGCUCAGUUUCAUGUAACUUCGUGAAUUCCUCUUUCGUCUUGUUGCAUUUUCUCUUGUCCUGUAUCACAUACUCUCCUUCGAAGUAUUUCUCUCCUCGUUCCUUCUGGUGGACAAACGACUGUUCCUGUUCAAACAUUGUAGACGGAUGUCCUUCUUUGAACUUCUCCUCUUUUUUACCGAUCUCCUUCUUUCUGCUGCCGUCGAAGUUCUUCUUUCCCUACUACAUUGAUUUUUCUUUCUGAACUCACUAAAAAUGAAACCCGAACGAUUCUUACAACGAAAGCCACGUGCCUGUGUACUCCCGUGUCUUCGACGUCUUGGACUUUUCAACCUUUCAUUUCGUCUUCUAUAAGUUCCAUCGUUCAGACUACGGCUUCCUAGAUCAGCAAGAGGAUUCGCGUCCUCCCUUAGGUCACCUCCUAGACUCUUCCGAGUACUUUCACCUUCACACCGUCUUUGACGUUGAUGACUCUUUCUAAGAUGUAGACGAUCUAGAUGACUCUUUCUCCGUAUACAAAGGAGUAGACGAAGUGUCCGAGAGGUCUUAUGAGUUGGUCGUGGUUAGUGGCCACUCGUGAUGUUCUCCUCAUUACUACGUGAACGGCGCCGAUCUCUUGCUCGUGACCGAGCAUUCUCUCGUUUCCUCGUCGUUUGUACUUCAUUCUACGUCUAUAUUAGAGUUGUGCGUUUUCUAGUCCCGGCGCAUUAUGUGAACUGUAAACAAAAACUGAACGUCGUAAAAGUCAACAACUACGUACAUAGAGGGACCGUAUUUAUAUAAGUCGAAGACACCAGUUUUAUAGACAUGUAGCUGUAGACUGUUCGUUCGUGUGAGUCUGUAGUCUUACUGGUAAGACGAUACGUAUUAGUCCUCUACUCUCCAAUUACACUCGGUUAAUAUAAAUGACUUAUAAACGCGACGGUUUUUUCUCUUUUUGGAACCGUGUCAGUCCGACUACCGUUAGACACGGGAAAGCACACAAGGUAACAUGAGACAUUGAUACAUUACUGAGUUCGACCAUCAAUAACUGACCAGCCACAACUUAGUCUCUAUAACUCUACCACAUACGGGAAAGGGUUUAUUUUUUCUACAUACGUCUAAAAACCAAAAGGUUCAAAAGUACUAGGAAUAAGGUACAAGUCUAGAGCAGUCAGCAGAUACAGUCGUAUGAGGCGGUUGGACCACGCGCCUUUUACUUGAAAGCCACAUAGUUAUAGUAAAAACGUUCCACAA
RNAcentral lists this ribosomal RNA (1650 nucleotides) under Triticum aestivum (bread wheat). RNAcentral's name for it is "partial small subunit ribosomal RNA". Lineage: Eukaryota; Viridiplantae; Streptophyta; Magnoliopsida; Poales; Poaceae. The record is from RNAcentral.